Long non-coding RNA from Drosophila willistoni, 1861 nucleotides. RefSeq lists it as uncharacterized. The transcript has 2 exons. The record is from RefSeq and is a predicted model, not a curated record. NCBI's taxonomy places the organism in Eukaryota, Metazoa, Arthropoda, Insecta, Diptera, Drosophilidae.
CAUAAGCAUUGUACACACAUAUUUGCGCACUGCUGGGUCGGCGCUUUUUCUCUUUUUGUUCAGUAAUAAAUUGGCACUCAACUGAUUAAGUAGAAAAGAAUCACAAAGGGAAAUUAUCCAAUUAAUUUCAAGGUACAGUCCACUGCUAGACUUAAUCAUAUUUGGUCAUUCGAGCCGAAUAAGGGAAUCGGUUUUCGUUCGAAUAAGUUGCUUUUCGUUCGAAUUUCGUUGGAUCGAUUGGGAAAUUCUGUGUGUUAUUACUCUGGAAUAGUUGUUCGCAAUGGAAGAACUAAAAGCUUUAGUGGGUCGUCGGAGCCGACUCAAGGCCAUCAUCAUAAGAAUUUUGAAUUGGACGGAAUGAACCCAUCCUACAUCAACUACUGAGGUAGCCUCUCGGAUGGAUCAACUCCAGUCCGUGUAGAGGGAAUUUAAUGAAAUUGGGGAUUCCAUAGCCCUACUGGAAGAUGUAAACGGCUAAGUGGAUCCAUAGGUUUACUGGACUCUACACUCCAGCUUUUCAAGAUAUCUAGAUAGUACGAUACACAACAAAAGGGAGUUAACCAACACUCAAAAGUUUCAUCACUUGAAAACACUGCUCGUCGAUGAUGCUGCUAACUUGGUGCGGCAUCUGGCGAUAACUGACACGGCUUACAACACUGCUUGGGAACGCCUAAAGGAGAGGUACAAUAGGCCACGCCAUAUUGUAAAGCGGUCACUUGAGACCGCUCCAUUCCCAGUCGCGUCAGCGCCGUCUUCUUGACUCUCAGCGCUAUGUUGAACAGCGAGCCGGCAUUUAAUCGUCUGCGGCGGUCGCUCUCACGAAAGAAGCUUUGGGAAGAUUCCGUUCCAAUCCACGUGGUUUAGAAAUAUUCAAGCUCUGCGAAUAUUUCUGGAGCCAACGAAAUAAAUAUUUUAGGAUGUUGACACGCAUAAUUGGAAAAUGAUCACUGCCGUGCAGGUCAUCUAUAACUGACCACUUACAGAAAGGGUAGAGCGAAGGAGAGAUAAAUGUCAGAUCAAUAUGGGAUAUAUGAAUCGACAAUUGUUAACUUUAUAUCCAGGUCUAAGCUAGCCAUCUGCUAGUGUAAAAUAUAAUAGUGUAAAAUAUUUGAGUUAACCGAAUUCUGCAUAAGCGAGUAGGGUAGGUGUCACCUAACAACGAUCCCUACACCUUGCUUUGCUGUUAAGUUGGAAGCAAGAUUGGUAAAAUAUCCAAUUUAUUGCUUUGGGCAAAUUGUGUUGUGGGCAUUGUGGGGUAGGUGCGUCUUCUGAAGACAUAUAAUGUCUGGUCGAUAUUUAUUAAUUAGAAUGCUAAAUUCAUCAUAGUUAUUAAAGUAUCCUUUCAAGUUCCACUGAACAAUCAUAAGAUUCAUAAGAUGCAAUAGUUGGAAAUAAGGCUACAGGAAUUAAGAUUAUAAACUUUUAUUGGGACAUUCACUCCUCCGAGUCCUUCUAAAAUAACAAACAAAACCAAACAUUGUGCAAAAAAAGAAAAACAUCUCUACGGGUCCAAGGAUGUUCAGUUGCUUUUAAAGAUUUACCUUACUAUUUUGUAAUAAAUUCUCAACAGGUUUUUCUCUAUAGUGAACAUGCCAUUAGGUACCUCCAUAUACAUCCCCAAAGCUGGGUGGUAGUUAUACUCUGGAUACAACAAAUCACUAGUUCAUAAAUCUUUUAUAUACUUUAUGAAACUAGUCUAUUUAGUGGAUGUAGAUUUUCGAGAACUUGACUCUCCUCCCUUUUCAAGUUAGUGGCUGUACGUAUUUCGGCGCAGCCAAAUUUUGCUCCGGUUCUCUGGUUAUGUAAUGGUAUGCGUAUAUUUAUAAUUAUUUCUACUUGCAAUAAAGUGUUUUAUAACUAA